This 481-nucleotide ribosomal RNA is filed under the name uncultured bacterium. RNAcentral describes it as "partial 16S ribosomal RNA". It matches the Rfam family "Bacterial small subunit ribosomal RNA", at positions 28 to 501 of the family's 1533-position model. The record is from RNAcentral.
GACGAACGCUGGCGGCGUGCUUAACACAUGCAAGUCGAACGAUGAAGCUAGAGCUUGCUCUGGUGAAUUAGUGGCGAACGGGUGAGUAACACGUGAGUAACCUGCCCCGAACUCUGGGAUAACUGCUGGAAACGGUAGCUAAUACUGGAUACGACCUACGAAGGCAUCUUCUGUAGGUGGAAAGAAUUUCGGUUCGGGAUGGACUCGCGGCCUAUCAGCUUGUUGGUGAGGUAAAGGCUCACCAAGGCGACGAUCCGUAGCUGGUCUGAGAGGACGAUGAGCCACACUGGGACUGAGACACGGCCCAGACUCCUGCGGGAGGCAGCAGUAGGGAAUCUUGCGCAAUGGGCGAAAGCCUGACGCAGCGACGCCGCGUGAGGGAAGAAGGCCUUCGGGUUGUAAACCUCUUUCAGGAGGGGCGAAGCCACUCGGGUUAAUAGCCUAGAGGGUGACGGUACCUCCAGAAGAAGCCCCGGCUAAC